RNAcentral lists this ribosomal RNA (252 nucleotides) under uncultured bacterium. RNAcentral describes it as "partial 16S ribosomal RNA". It matches the Rfam family "Bacterial small subunit ribosomal RNA", at positions 524 to 776 of the family's 1533-position model. The record is from RNAcentral.
UACGGGGGGGCAAGCGUUGUUCGGAAUUACUGGGCGUAAAGGGCUCGUAGGCGGCCAACUAAGUCGGACGUGAAAUCCCUCGGCUCAACCGGGGAACUGCGUCCGAUACUGGAUGGCUUGAGUUCGGGAGAGGGAUGCGGAAUUCCAGGUGUAGCGGUGAAAUGCGUAGAUAUCUGGAGGAACACCGGUGGCGAAGGCGGCAUCCUGGACCGACACUGACGCUGAGGAGCGAAAGCCAGGGGAGCAAACGGG